UACAGGCUUAACACAUGCAAGUCGAGGGGCAUCAGGAAGAAAGCUUGCUUUCUUUGCUGGCGACCGGCGCACGGGUGAGUAACACGUAUCCAACCUGCCCUUUACUCGGGGAUAGCCUUUCGAAAGAAAGAUUAAUACCCGAUGGCAUAAUGAUUCCGCAUGGUUUCAUUAUUAAAGGAUUCCGGUAAAGGAUGGGGAUGCGUUCCAUUAGGUUGUUGGUGAGGUAACGGCUCACCAAGCCUUCGAUGGAUAGGGGUUCUGAGAGGAAGGUCCCCCACAUUGGAACUGAGACACGGUCCAAACUCCUACGGGAGGCAGCAGUGAGGAAUAUUGGUCAAUGGGCGCUAGCCUGAACCAGCCAAGUAGCGUGAAGGAUGAAGGCUCUAUGGGUCGUAAACUUCUUUUACAUAAGAAUAAAGUGCAGUAUGUAUACUGUUUUGUAUGUAUUAUAUGAAUAAGGAUCGGCUAACUCCGUGCCAGCAGCCGCGGUAAUACGGAGGAUCCGAGCGUUAUCCGGAUUUAUUGGGUUUAAAGGGAGCGUAGGUGGACUGGUAAGUCAGUUGUGAAAGUUUGCGGCUCAACCGUAAAAUUGCAGUUGAUACUGUCAGUCUUGAGUACAGUAGAGGUGGGCGGAAUUCGUGGUGUAGCGGUGAAAUGCUUAGAUAUCACGAAGAACUCCGAUUGCGAAGGCAGCUCACUGGACUGCAACUGACACUGAUGCUCGAAAGUGUGGGUAUCAAACAGGAUUAGAUACCCUGGUAGUCCACACAGUAAACGAUGAAUACUCGCUGUUUGCGAUAUACAGUAAGCGGCCAAGCGAAAGCAUUAAGUAUUCCACCUGGGGAGUACGCCGGCAACGGUGAAACUCAAAGGAAUUGACGGGGGCCCGCACAAGCGGAGGAACAUGUGGUUUAAUUCGAUGAUACGCGAGGAACCUUACCCGGGCUUAAAUUGCAGUGGAAUGAUGUGGAAACAUGUCAGUGAGCAAUCACCGCUGUGAAGGUGCUGCAUGGUUGUCGUCAGCUCGUGCCGUGAGGUGUCGGCUUAAGUGCCAUAACGAGCGCAACCCUUAUCUUUAGUUACUAACAGGUUAUGCUGAGGACUCUAGAGAGACUGCCGUCGUAAGAUGUGAGGAAGGUGGGGAUGACGUCAAAUCAGCACGGCCCUUACGUCCGGGGCUACACACGUGUUACAAUGGGGGGUACAGAAGGCAGCUAGCGGGUGACCGUAUGCUAAUCCCAAAAGCCUCUCUCAGUUCGGAUCGAAGUCUGCAACCCGACUUCGUGAAGCUGGAUUCGCUAGUAAUCGCGCAUCAGCCACGGCGCGGUGAAUACGUUCCCGGGCCUUGUACACACCGCCCGUCAAGCCAUGGGAGCCGGGGGUACCUGAAGUACGUAACCGCAAGGAUCGUCCUAGGGUAAAACUGGUGACUGGGGC
Molecule: ribosomal RNA, 1437 nt
Filed under: uncultured organism
Description: SSU rRNA
Rfam family: Bacterial small subunit ribosomal RNA
Source: RNAcentral